Molecule: long non-coding RNA, 1276 nt
Organism: Musca domestica (house fly)
Lineage: Eukaryota; Metazoa; Arthropoda; Insecta; Diptera; Muscidae
Exons: 2
Source: RefSeq, a predicted model, not a curated record
CGUUGUGUUAUAUACGGUACACAUCAGGGAUUCAUCGCGUUUUUUAAGAAUAUUUAAACAAAAAAUUAAAAUUUAGACAACAUGAAAUAUAUUUCAUUGGAUUAUUUAAAGCUUGGAAUAUUUUAAUUCAUUAAAUUCUAAUAAAAAAGCAACAAAUUAAAUGACUUCUAUUGGUCUGUUGAAUCCUCUGAGAGUCUAAUGCGAUUUAGACAGUUAGAAAUGGCGGUAAUAUUUUGAAGGCCUACUAAAUCUACUAAAUGGCUUAAUAAAGUCAGAAAUUAAGGCCCCUAAACAUUGAAGACUAGAUUCAGAGAUUGCUUGGUGUUGCGGAAAAACUAUGGUAGAAGCAUCGACACAGCUGAUGGAACAAUGAACUGUCAAACCAAUUUUGGACUUGGAAAUGUUGAAUGAAAAAUUUUUUAAAUUUGUAAAAAUUGUCGAAAAACGCGAAUAAUAAUAACUUCCGAAUGACGUCGAAUAAGCAAACAAAUAAAAAUCUACUUAUAUUUGAAAAAAAAAAAAACAUUUCCAUUUUUUGGCAUAUGAAAGCUCUCAAGCGUUGAUGCAUUACCUGUAUUCUUCCGCCAUGGGAAAAGUGUAGAACACAAAAUACAGGGUGAGAUAAAGAAACUGCAACAAAGUCAGAAGACAUAAUUUUUACAUUUUUUUUUACAUUUCAUCGAAUGAAAGCAAAAAAUGUCGGAAAUAGCAUUAAAUUUUGAGAACUACACUUAGUUUGAGAAAAUAUAUUAACUAUCAUAAGCCUUGGGAAAGGGGAUAAUUAAAAAACAUGUAAUUAAUUUUUCGCUUACAGAAGAAGCCUAUAAACAACUUUCUAAACGCAACACAUGCCCAAAACAGAUUUGAAUCUGUUACAUGCUUUCGGUCGCAGUUAACUGAUUUCCCUGCAUAUUUUUUAAUUGGUAAAAGUAAACCAAAUAACGCUCACCCCAUAUCAAACAUAUUAAUUUUGACAUUAUUCUUUAUUAAGUUUAAUUCUCUUGGCUAUAAUUUAGUUAAUAUUAAAAAAGCCGUUUCUUUUUACAUUUAUUUAUUUUUUUUUUUCAAUUUUUGUCGUUUAAGGACACAAAAUAUAGUUUUUUUCUUGGUGACUUACAACAAUGUUCGAUUUUUUAUAUUAAAAUGUUUUACUAUGGCAGUAUAAAAUGUUAUUUUUAAUUGGACAAAUUGUUACCUAAACUCCGAAAAAAACUAUAUGAAAAUAAAUGCCUUGUAUUUUAUGACGACUGAAGAUGGAGAAAAAAUCAAAAAUGCA